AAGGAGCAGCUGCUAAUUGUAUCAGGCCACCAGGUUCUGCUCAGGAAGGCCUGUCUGCAGCAACCAGAACUGGAAGCCUGGUGGCCCGCUUGACAUGCCCUGUGCUUGGGUAGACAAGCAGAAGCAACCCUGCUUGGGCUGUCAUCAGUCCACCGUGUCCUCUUCUAAGCCUCUCCAUUAACUUCUUGGACAGGAGCUGAGGACCAGUCAACUUUGUACACUCUGUGCACUCUGAAGCAGCUCUUAACA
This is a non-coding RNA of Puma concolor (puma), 249 nucleotides long. The record is from RefSeq and is a predicted model, not a curated record. NCBI's taxonomy places the organism in Eukaryota, Metazoa, Chordata, Mammalia, Carnivora, Felidae.